RNAcentral lists this long non-coding RNA (412 nucleotides) under Ananas comosus (pineapple). RNAcentral describes it as "long non-coding RNA (ACOM_LNC044784)". The record is from RNAcentral. Lineage: Eukaryota; Viridiplantae; Streptophyta; Magnoliopsida; Poales; Bromeliaceae.
AAGACACUAGGUUUAAUGCCACUUGAUGUCCAACCUAUGUUCUUUGACACUAGGUUCAUAUCAUCCAUGUUCAACCUAUAUCCAUGACUCUAGGUUUAAUGCCACUCGAUCUAUGUGCAUAUAUAUAUAUGUCCACAUGCCCAUAUCCUUUUCUUAACAUUAGUAUCUCUACAACAUGAUUAUCAAGUAUAUCUUAGUAUUAGCCACAUGCUUACAUUUAGCAUUUCCAUGACAUGCAUCCAACUAACAUUAACCAAUGCAUAUAUUCUAGCAUUUCUAUACCACAUCUUUAGCAUGCAUUUCCUUUAGCAUUUACUACAUGCAUCCAUCUAGCAUUUAUAUGCAUCAACAUGAAUUCAAUUUACUUAGACAUACAGGCGACCUAGUCGCUUCGGUAAGCACAACCCACCUC